AGGACGAACGCUGGCGGCGCGCCUAACACAUGCAAGUCGAGCGUGAACCCCGGGCUUGCCCGGGGGGAAAGCGGCGAACGGGUGCGUAACACGUGAGCAACCUGCCCCGAAGACUGGGAUAACCCGAGGAAACUCGGGCUAAUACCGGAUGCCCUCACCGAGUCGCAUGGCUUGGCGAGGAAAUGGAUUCCGCUUCGGGAUGGGCUCGCGGUCUAUCAGCUUGUUGGUGGGUAACGCCUACCAAGGCGACGACGGAUAGCUGGUCUGAGGGGACGAUCAGCCACACUGGGACUGAGACACGGCCCAGACUCCUACGGGAGGCAGCAGUGGGGAAUCGUUGCGCAAGUGGGGAAACCCUGACGCAGCGACGCCGCGUGCGGGAUGAAGGCCUUCGGGUCGUAAACCGCUUCGAGCGAGGACGAAAGUUCGACGGUACCU
Molecule: ribosomal RNA, 438 nt
Filed under: uncultured soil bacterium
Lineage: Bacteria
Description: bacterial SSU rRNA
Rfam family: Bacterial small subunit ribosomal RNA
Source: RNAcentral